Lathyrus oleraceus (garden pea) is the source of this 899-nucleotide long non-coding RNA. RefSeq lists it as uncharacterized. The transcript is spliced from 2 exons. The record is from RefSeq and is a predicted model, not a curated record. Lineage: Eukaryota; Viridiplantae; Streptophyta; Magnoliopsida; Fabales; Fabaceae.
GGUGCAAAGAGGGAAAGCUACAUGGGCCUAGGUGUAUUAUGAAGCCCAAAUGCAGGAAAAUGAGAGAGAGAGAAGAGAGAGAUUCACGUUUCAAUCCAUUUCACCAUGUUCAGAAUAAUAUUCCGCUCUCAUCAACCUUUGGCUGGAAAACAGAGUCUCCGCCGCGCCAGAAAUUGCCUCCGACGGCGGCGGAGAGCCAAAUACCUUAACUCUAACAUAAAUCAACUCGUCUACUUCCCCUUUUCACCAAUCCAGUAUUGACUUCAACUUAUUCCUACCCUAACAACCAAACCGGAACAAAUCUCAAGAUUCCUAAAUCCUAAUUUCAAAAAUUAAAUGCAAGAACGGAGGAAUCAAGGCCUCUAAUUUUAGGGCUUUGAUUCCUUAAAUCAAACCCUACAUGGUGGUAUCAGAGUUAGGGCUAAAUGUUGAAGAAUUUCCUACCUUCGAGACGAACAGUUCUUUGGUGCAGUUAGAAUCUGAGGCAAAUGAAGAUGAAGACGGUGAAACUUCCUCAGGCUGACUUGGCUUGGAGUUUGUUCAAGACUUCAAGACACUUGAAGUGAGACUACAAUGGAGGUCAAUGAUAAUGGCUUGAAGAACGAAGACAUGGAUUGCUUGCAAAUGAAGGAAACUUGGAUAUGAAGCCCAAAGAAAAGAUGGAAAAGUGAAGACCAAAGAGAAAAUUGGGAUUAAGUUUAGAGAUUAGGUUAGUUGACUUUGGUCAAGUAGAUAACCAAAAAUUCAACAGUUGACCAAAGUCAAUUGUAGGUCAAAGUCAUUUUUUUUUGUAAUUUUGUAUGGAUUCUUGUAAUUUUGGUCUUGUGUAAAUGGAAUUGACACUUUGACAAGAAAAUAGUCCUUUAUUAAAUGAAACAUGCCUUGUUUCUCAAGCAAAA